AGCGAACGCUGGCGGCGGGCCUAACACAUGCAAGUCGAACGGCAGCACAGUAAGAGCUUGCUCUUACGGGUGGCGAGUGGCGGACGGGUGAGGAAUACAUCGGGAUCUACUUUUUCGUGGGGGAUAACGUAGGGAAACUUACGCUAAUACCGCAUACGACCUACGGGUGAAAGCAGGGGAUCUUCGGACCUUGCGCGAUUGAAUGAGCCGAUGUCGGAUUAGCUAGUUGGCGGGGUAAAGGCCCACCAAGGCGACGAUCCGUAGCUGGUCUGAGAGGAUGGUCAGCCACACUGGAGCUGAGACAGGGUCCAGAGUCCUACGGGAGGGAGCAGUGGGGAAUAUGAGACAAUGGGCGCAAGCCUGAUCCAGCCAUACCGCGUGGGUGAAGGAGGCCUUCGGGUCGGAAAGCCCGUUUGUUGGGAAAGAAAAGCAGCAGGUUGAUACCCCGCUGUUCUGACGGUACCCAAAGAAUAAGCACCGGCUAACUUCGUG
Molecule: ribosomal RNA, 492 nt
Filed under: uncultured bacterium
Lineage: Bacteria
Description: partial 16S ribosomal RNA
Rfam family: Bacterial small subunit ribosomal RNA
Source: RNAcentral